RNAcentral lists this long non-coding RNA (262 nucleotides) under Ananas comosus (pineapple). RNAcentral describes it as "long non-coding RNA (ACOM_LNC009906)". The record is from RNAcentral. Lineage: Eukaryota; Viridiplantae; Streptophyta; Magnoliopsida; Poales; Bromeliaceae.
GAAGAGAGAGGAUUAUUAAACUGUUUGAUGAAAGAGUUUAAUUGCUCAAACUAAAAGUUCAGACGUCUGCUUUAUAAAAGUGCUAUUGCUUUUUUUUUUUUUUUUUUAGAGAUAGGUAGCACGCUAUCCGUUUCGUUUAUUAAAUUUAGAAAUAAAUUUAGCUGAAAAUGUGAAUCAACUAGGAUUCGAACUUGGAACCUCGAGUACCAAUCACCAAGCCCUUUACCACUUGCUAUAUGAACGGUCGGUAUAAAAGUGCUAU